AGUGAACGCUGGCGGUAGGCCUAACACAUGCAAGUCGAACGGCAGCACAGUAAGAGCUUGCUCUUACGGGUGGCGAGUGGCGGACGGGUGAGGAAUACAUCGGAAUCUACUUUUUCGUGGGGGAUAACGUAGGGAAACUUACGCUAAUACCGCAUACGACCUACGGGUGAAAGCAGGGGAUCUUCGGACCUUGCGCGAUUGAAUGAGCCGAUGUCGGAUUAGCUAGUUGGCGGGGUAAAGGCCCACCAAGGCGAUGAUCCGUAGCUGGUCUGAGAGGAUGAUCAGCCACACUGGAACUGAGACACGGUCCAGACUCCUACGGGAGGCAGCAGUGGGGAAUAUUGGACAAUGGGCGCAAGCCUGAUCCAGCCAUACCGCGUGGGUGAAGAAGGCCUUCGGGUUGUAAAGCCCUUUUGUUUGGAAAGAAAAGCAGCAGGUUAAUACCCCGCUGUUCUGACGGUACCCAAAGAAUAAGCACCGGCUAACUUCGUG
This 492-nucleotide ribosomal RNA is filed under the name uncultured bacterium. Its description in RNAcentral is "partial 16S ribosomal RNA". It matches the Rfam family "Bacterial small subunit ribosomal RNA", at positions 29 to 507 of the family's 1533-position model. The record is from RNAcentral.